RNAcentral lists this ribosomal RNA (308 nucleotides) under Salmonella enterica. RNAcentral describes it as "partial 16S ribosomal RNA". It matches the Rfam family "Bacterial small subunit ribosomal RNA", at positions 1236 to 1533 of the family's 1533-position model. The record is from RNAcentral. RNAcentral also lists the same sequence under 2 other names. Lineage: Bacteria; Pseudomonadati; Pseudomonadota; Gammaproteobacteria; Enterobacterales; Enterobacteriaceae.
UAUACAAAGAGAAGCGACCUCGCGAGAGCAAGCGGACCUCAUAAAGUAUGUCGUAGUCCGGAUUGGAGUCUGCAACUCGACUCCAUGAAGUCGGAAUCGCUAGUAAUCGUGGAUCAGAAUGCCACGGUGAAUACGUUCCCGGGCCUUGUACACACCGCCCGUCACACCAUGGGAGUGGGUUGCAAAAGAAGUAGGUAGCUUAACCUUCGGGAGGGCGCUUACCACUUUGUGAUUCAUGACUGGGGUGAAGUCGUAACAAGGUAACCGUAGGGGAACCUGCGGUUGGAUCACCUCCUUACCUUAAAGAA